UGGAUCCAGACUUUGAGCUGGCUCAGGACGAACGCUGGCGGCGUGCCUAAUACAUGCAAGUCGAGCGAGCUUGCCUAGAUGAUUUUAGUGCUUGCACUAAAUGAAACUAGAUACAAGCGAGCGGCGGGCGGGUGAGUAACACGUGGGUAACCUGCCCAAGAGACUGGGAUAACACCUGGAAACAGAUGCUAAUACCGGAUAACAACACUAGACGCAUGUCUAGAGUUUGAAAGAUGGUUCUGCUAUCACUCUUGGAUGGACCUGCGGUGCAUUAGCUAGUUGGUAAGGUAACGGCUUACCAAGGCAAUGAUGCAUAGCCGAGUUGAGAGACUGAUCGGCCACAUUGGGACUGAGACACGGCCCAAACUCCUACGGGAGGCAGCAGUAGGGAAUCUUCCACAAUGGACGAAAGUCUGAUGGAGCAACGCCGCGUGAGUGAAGAAGGGUUUCGGCUCGUAAAGCUCUGUUGGUAGUGAAGAAAGAUAGAGGUAGUAACUGGCCUUUAUUUGACGGUAAUUACUUAGAAAGUCACGGCUAACUACGUGCCAGCAGCCGCGGUAAUACGUAGGUGGCAAGCGUUGUCCGGAUUUAUUGGGCGUAAAGCGAGUGCAGGCGGUUCAAUAAGUCUGAUGUGAAAGCCUUCGGCUCAACCGGAGAAUUGCAUCAGAAACUGUUGAACUUGAGUGCAGAAGAGGAGAGUGGAACUCCAUGUGUAGCGGUGGAAUGCGUAGAUAUAUGGAAGAACACCAGUGGCGAAGGCGGCUCUCUGGUCUGCAACUGACGCUGAGGCUCGAAAGCAUGGGUAGCGAACAGGAUUAGAUACCCUGGUAGUCCAUGCCGUAAACGAUGAGUGCUAAGUGUUGGGAGGUUUCCGCCUCUCAGUGCUGCAGCUAACGCAUUAAGCACUCCGCCUGGGGAGUACGACCGCAAGGUUGCAACUCAAAU
This 945-nucleotide ribosomal RNA is filed under the name uncultured Bacillota bacterium. RNAcentral describes it as "bacterial SSU rRNA". It matches the Rfam family "Bacterial small subunit ribosomal RNA", at positions 1 to 906 of the family's 1533-position model. Lineage: Bacteria; Bacillati; Bacillota. The record is from RNAcentral.